CCUUCGGGCUGAGUAAAGCGGCGGACGGGUGAGUAACGCGUAGGAAUCUACCUGGUAGUGGGGGACAACUUGGGGAAACUCAAGCUAAUACCGCAUACGCCCUAAGGGGGAAAGCGGGGGACCUUCGGGCCUCGCGCUAUCGGAUGAGCCUGCGUAGGAUUAGCUAGUUGGUGGGGUAAAGGCCCACCAAGGCGACGAUCCUUAGCUGGUCUGAGAGGAUGAUCAGCCACACUGGAACUGAGACACGGUCCAGACUCCUACGGGAGGCAGCAGUGGGGAAUAUUGCGCAAUGGGCGAAAGCCUGACGCAGCCAUGCCGCGUGUGUGAAGAAGGCCUUAGGGUUGUAAAGCACUUUCAAUUGGGAAGAAAAGUUUGUCGUUAAUAGCGCCAAGCUCUGACAUUACCUUUAGAAGAAGCACCGGCUAACUCCGUGCCAGCAGCCGCGGUAAUACGGAGGGUGCGAGCGUUAAUCGGAAUUACUGGGCGUAAAGCGCGCGUAGGCGGUUUGUU
This 510-nucleotide ribosomal RNA is filed under the name uncultured Haliea sp. Its description in RNAcentral is "bacterial SSU rRNA". It matches the Rfam family "Bacterial small subunit ribosomal RNA", at positions 77 to 584 of the family's 1533-position model. The record is from RNAcentral. Lineage: Bacteria; Pseudomonadati; Pseudomonadota; Gammaproteobacteria; Cellvibrionales; Halieaceae.